AGAGUUUGAUCCUGGCUCAGGAUGAACGCUAGCGGCAGGCUUAAUACAUGCAAGUCGAGGGGCAGCAGGGGUAGCAAUACUCGCUGGCGACCGGCGCACGGGUGCGUAACACGUAUACAAUCUGCCUUUAACAGGGGGAUAGCCCGGAGAAAUCCGGAUUAAUACCCCAUAAUAAAUUGAAUGGCAUCAUUUGAUUUUGAAAGCUCCGGCGGUUAAAGAUGAGUAUGCGUCUGAUUAGCUAGUUGGUGAGGUAACGGCUCACCAAGGCAACGAUCAGUAGGGGAUCUGAGAGGAUUAACCCCCACACGGAUACUGAGACACGGAUCCGACUCCUACGGGAGGCAGCAGUAAGGAAUAUUGGACAAUGCCCGCAAGGGUGAUCCAGCCAUGCCGCGUGCAGGAAGACGGCCCUAUGGGUUGUAAACUGCUUUUGUACCGGAGAAAACCUUCCCUU
This 454-nucleotide ribosomal RNA is filed under the name uncultured soil bacterium. RNAcentral's name for it is "bacterial SSU rRNA". It matches the Rfam family "Bacterial small subunit ribosomal RNA", at positions 8 to 459 of the family's 1533-position model. The record is from RNAcentral.